AGAACCCGGCCUCGGAAGCCCUGGCGAGGCACCGAGUACCGAGUGUUGCGUCGGCGAAGGUAACGACGUCGACGAAGCGUACACAGGGAGGUGAUGGGCCGCAAUGCGCAAGCGUGAAGGGAUUGAGCCCCGUAAUGUACGAACAACUGUGGGUGCCGACCUGCUCAACAUCAGGGAAGGCUACAUCAAGAGCGUCCAUUGCCACGACGCUGGCGAACCCACCGGGGUCCGAGCCCG
Molecule: non-coding RNA, 237 nt
Organism: Cyanobacteria bacterium 13_1_40CM_2_61_4
Lineage: Bacteria; Bacillati; Cyanobacteriota
Source: Rfam